This 74-nucleotide transfer RNA is filed under the name Streptomyces sp. WAC07149. RNAcentral describes it as "tRNA-Arg". It matches the Rfam family "tRNA". Rfam says of the family: Transfer RNA (tRNA) molecules are approximately 80 nucleotides in length. Their secondary structure includes four short double-helical elements and three loops (D, anti-codon, and T loops). The record is from RNAcentral. Lineage: Bacteria; Bacillati; Actinomycetota; Actinomycetes; Kitasatosporales; Streptomycetaceae.
GGGGUCGUGGUACAGAGGUCGUUGCACCCCCUUGCGAAGGGGAGGACGCCGGUUCGAAUCCGGCCGCCCCGCCC